UCCGCCUCUGCCCUCCCGAGCCCCAGGGAAAAUGCUUUCCAGCAUUGUCGAGCUUCUGAAAGACAAAACUUGUGAUUUGACACUAGCAUCCAGAAAAGGUUUCUGUCUAGAUUAGCAAAUGCCUAAAUUGUUCUUGGUUACAUCCCAUGACCGGUUUUAGGCAGUGACUUUAUACUGCUUUUAGGAUUUUCUUGUACAAUGGUGAGAAAAUAGGCAGGUCUGAUAGUGGUUUCACUUUUUUUCUACUUCACGUUCCAUAAGAUUCUUUUAUCCAAGCACUUGUUUUAAAAUUCUACUGUAGGCAUGUAUGGUUCACUUUUUUUUUUCUUUGCAGCACCCGUGACUUUUUUUUCUCUCUAAAUCGGGAGUAAAUAUAGCUGAGUAAAAUUAGCUUGGUUUUCUUCCUUCUUUUUUAACUGAAUUGUUUUUAUUAAAAAUCCUAUUUGAAUAUGUAGAAAAAGUGGGGAUGUCCUGUAAUAUAUCCUAGCUUUUCUUGUUUACAGGGUACUCAGAAAAUAUGUCUCCCUUAGAGUCCCACAGAAAGGUUCUCAGUGCGAUCUCUAUCAAGUGCUAUGAGUCUUGAUAAAUUGGAGAAGAGCCCAAGAGAAAUUUUUCGUCCCUUGAUAUAAAAGGGAUCGGUGAAUUUUAACUUUGGAGUCCUCUAUGCUAAGGGUGCUCAGCCUACAGAUGAUGAAAUGUUCAGUAAUGUAUUUGCUGCAGCUCUGCUUACCCAAUCUUUGGGUUCCUUCUGUCCCACUGUGAGUUGCCCUGUUUGGUUG
This is a long non-coding RNA of Melozone crissalis (California towhee), 779 nucleotides long. RefSeq lists it as uncharacterized. NCBI's taxonomy places the organism in Eukaryota, Metazoa, Chordata, Aves, Passeriformes, Passerellidae. The record is from RefSeq and is a predicted model, not a curated record. The transcript is spliced from 4 exons.